AAUUCGAGAUGAUUUAACGGGUACCAACAGCAAAAAUAUUUUUGAAUAAAAAAGUAAAAUACAAGGGAUAUAUUUGGAAUAAAAAAAUAGCGAUACAUAAGAUAUUUCAAAAAUAUUGGUGUAGUAUGUAGGUAAUUAUUUUUUUUCUAAAAAUGUAAAAAAAAUUUAUGAAUCAUAGAAAAUGUAGGGUGUAUAUAUAUAUAUAUAUAUAUAGUGCAUCUGGUAUGCUUAUGGAAGCACGGAGCGCUCCGUGCUUCCACUUUGUUUUCGAUAUUCAAACUUUUGAAUCGGUGAUCGGCUCCGUUAGAUUUGAUCUAGAGUAUUUGAAGUAUCUAGAAAAUAAAUUUUGUGAGUUUUC
RNAcentral lists this long non-coding RNA (358 nucleotides) under Ananas comosus (pineapple). RNAcentral's name for it is "long non-coding RNA (ACOM_LNC013146)". The record is from RNAcentral. Lineage: Eukaryota; Viridiplantae; Streptophyta; Magnoliopsida; Poales; Bromeliaceae.